UACGAAGGGGGCUAGCGUUGUUCGGAAUUACUGGGCGUAAAGGGCGCGCAGGCGGCCCUCCAAGUCAGGCGUGAAAGCCCCGGGCUCAACCCGGGAACAGCGCUUGAGACUGGGGGGCUUGAGUUCGGGAGAGGAGAGUGGAAUUCCCAGUGUAGAGGUGAAAUUCGUAGAUAUUGGGAAGAACACCGGUGGCGAAGGCGGCUCUCUGGACCGACACUGACGCUGAGGCGCGACAGCGUGGGGAGCAAACAGG
This 253-nucleotide ribosomal RNA is filed under the name uncultured bacterium. RNAcentral's name for it is "partial 16S ribosomal RNA". It matches the Rfam family "Bacterial small subunit ribosomal RNA", at positions 524 to 776 of the family's 1533-position model. The record is from RNAcentral.